AAUAUUCCCUUGAAGCAGGCAUAUUAGCAAGCGGUACGUUCUUGGCAAGAAGCCGCUGCUAGUGACAGGGCAUUCAUAUUAGCGAACAACCGCACGUUGUCCGCUCUUUCUCUUCAAGUAAUGGAAACGGUACACGAACUCUGCCGUCCUCUCGAGCGAACCAAGUGGAAGGCUGCUGAUUGGUAAUCGUUAAUUACGCCCGUAACUUCCUCCAGAGGAACUUCUAUUUCGACAGUUUUUAAAAUAUCGGCACUUUUCGCCGGCGAUAGGGCCUCGAGGAGGCGGGGGUUGAAAAUGGUGGAUCCAAGAGAGAAAGUGGAGUCGAGAGAGGAUAUCGUGGACAAGAACGUAUUGAUCGAGUUAUAGUCUUUGGGGUCUCGAGCCUCUGUCGCGAGGGAGCCAAUGAGAGAUCUCGAGGGUGAAUUUAGAGCAAGAAUGGCGACUGAUGGUUUCUAUCGAAACGAACCCCUUUACGCACUGGGACAGAACCGUAAGAAGUAAAGAACAUAUUUUUAAUUUGCUAUUAUUUGCACUUAAAAUAUUGGAAACUCGUCCACCAUUGUGUCUCUAGUGUUGAAUACUUAGCUGCUCUUUGCUCUUUCUUACAUCUGAUAUUUUAUAUUUUUAUGAGAAGGUCAAUAGAUCCAAUAAGACCUGCUUUAAUAAAUUCAUUGAUUCAGAAUUCGAAAUUGACUAUCUAUUACAGUUAACAAAUAAUAAUGUUUGAUUAUCAAAAAAAUAUAUUAUAUACAGAGUAUUAUAAAAAAAUAUGAGAAGCAAUAAAUAAUUUUUAUUAGCUUUAACGUUGCUUAUUUUAGAUUUGAAAUUUUUAUUUUGACUUUUUUCUUGGGAUUCUACGCCAUCGUGUAUCGUGGAAGCGUACACGAGAACAGGUGAAUACCUUAAUCGAGUUGAAUUGUUGCGCCACCCUUUUCCUGAGAAAAUGGAUGCUAAAUUAAUGGACAACCCCAUUUAGAAUCAACGUAAAAGUUUUGAUCGGUCGAUUUCCUAGAUUUCAACGUAACUCACGGUGACAACGAAGCAAGCAAAAUUGAAAUAACAUGAACUCGGGUUCCCGUUUCGGAGAGCAAGUUUAAUUGCAAAAGUAGGGAUCAAAGUUUUUCAACGGUUAGUAAUUAGAUGUUUCGAUAAAGUUUCAACGUUUCACACUGCGGAUGAUCAAAGUGCUCAGCUGAAUUCUAAACGACUCCAUUCUUCGUAACGAAAGACGAUUAUCUGGGAUCUCCUUGUUCUCCUCUCUAACACGUUCCAUUUAAAGACUGGAAAAUUAACAUUUCAGGAAAAGAAUUGCUAAUGAUGAUUAUCUGAAGCUUCAAAAAUUUUGAUUACAUUUGAUCUUUCAAUAUUUUUCAUGUGGUGUCAUUGUAAUUGACAAGAAAUAAUAAUGUUUGAUUAAUACCACUAAUUGAUUCUUUUGAAUUUCGAGUCAAAAAUAAAUUAGAAAUUACUAGAAAAGAAAUGUUAAUUGUUUAGUAAUGCUCUUGUGCUGUUAAUAUAAUUAACAUAUAAUACAACAAUUGAUUAAUUACUACUCAAGAAUUUUAACAUUCCAAUUGAUUCUCCAAAUCAUCAACCUAGAAAUAAAAAAAAUCACCAGUAAAAAUAUUCCAAAUUGAAAAGAAACCACCAGUAGAAAAGGAAAUUGAAUAAUCGCAGAAAAAAGAAGUAAUAAAAAGUAGAGCUACGUUCUCCAUCGAUCAGCCGUAUCCUCUCGACACCUACCGCCCAUCGAAACCAUCAGAAUUGCCAAUAAUAGCCGAGAAUAAGGAGGAGAAAAGAGAUAACUAUCCGAUAGAAAAAGGGCAAAAGGAAAUAGGAAAGGGUGACGGUAAUUUCCAAGCGAUCGCCGUUGAACAGAAGAAGCGAUACGUCCUCCAUUACUCGGCUGGCUCCAUAAAUCACAGUCGGCCUCCAUCGUCCCGAUAGAAUUCCCCAUAAUUCGUGAAUUAUUCGCGAAGAGGAGAGCGCGGUUACGAGGUACGCGUAUACGGCCCCAUAAGAUCCGGCCUGAGGGAGGAAACGGCGAGGCGGAGGAGCAGGCUGCAGGACAUUAAGGGUAACAAAUGAGGCUGGCUGGUCCUCCCGCAGGACUCUCUUCCGACUGAGGUGGCGGGAAUGAAAAUAAGUGUACCUCGCUCCUAGCUACCAGCUUUUUUCUUCAUUUCCUCUCCCCUUGACCCUCUCUUUCGCUCCGCUUCUUCUAGCCGACCUCACUUUUCCAACGUCGCAUUAUUCUCCGACCCACCCCCCGUCUAACCCUCUCUGGUUGACUCGGUUUUUAAAGCGUGCUACGCUUACGACGAGAAAGCGCGACGGAGAUUUAGCGCGCGAGGUAGCGAAGCGUGCACCCGAGGCGGCUCAAGUUCUCCGAGCGCGCGUUUCCUAAGCGCCGAACCGAGGUGGUUGCACGCCAGUCGACGGCCGUUGUUACACACGCUGCAUACACCGGCUUCCGACCUCUCAACCUCGAGGAAAUAUUUAGCAGUUAGCCGGGGAUUAAGGAAUGCGUUAAUUACGAAAUACUGCUGCUUCGCUCUAUUAAGCGGAAAUGUAAUUUCGCGACCGGCCACGCGAAACCACGCCUACGCUUAAUUGCUCAAGGCCGAUCCUUUAAUCUCGGUCUUGAUUAAUUGAGACCUGGAGUACCCGCGAGUAUUUCGCGCCAACGGGCACCCGUGACGUACGCACGCCGGAGAUUGUGAAGGAGUCGCGAGUUCUGAUGGAGUUUUAUUGUCCACGUUAAUUGAUUCCGCACAACACUCGGCCAACAUUUAUGAGUGCUUCUGUUUGUUUGCUUUUACGUUUAGAUUUUAGGUACCGCUGGAUGGAACGAGUAAUUGGCUGCGAAUCAUUGCUGAUUUUGUUUGCGCGAUACAAUGCUUAUAAUUGGAUCUAUUUAGAGUCAUGUUAAAUAAACUAAGCGACAAAUUUAUUUUCAUGUAACAAGAUUUAUAUUUGAAGCUUCAAAGAAGUAAUAAUUGUGAAGUAAUUAUAAAUAUAAAUAACGUGUAUUAAAAUUUUCAUAGAUAUUUCAUAGGGGAUUAAAAACGAAUGUUAUAACAAAUGAAUAAUCAAAGAGGAUAAAAGUGUCUGAAGGAAAAUUGCUGGAAAAAUGUUUCUCCGAUUAUUAGGGUGGAUCAAGAAGUCGGCUAACUGCAAAGAGCAUUGUAGCUGGUUUUUUCAUUAUUAUGCGAAAACGGGGCACGCUGGUGGACGCGUGGCCGGCUUUUGUUGAUUGGACGAAGCGUGCCAGCGUUUGGUCCGUUCGCGUGCAUGCGCGAGCCGCAUCCUGCCAUGCCUGCCGCAUGUACAAG
This is a long non-coding RNA of Osmia lignaria (orchard mason bee), 3335 nucleotides long. RefSeq lists it as uncharacterized. The record is from RefSeq and is a predicted model, not a curated record. NCBI's taxonomy places the organism in Eukaryota, Metazoa, Arthropoda, Insecta, Hymenoptera, Megachilidae.